This 94-nucleotide transfer RNA is filed under the name Cercospora zeae-maydis SCOH1-5. It matches the Rfam family "tRNA". Rfam says of the family: Transfer RNA (tRNA) molecules are approximately 80 nucleotides in length. Their secondary structure includes four short double-helical elements and three loops (D, anti-codon, and T loops). The record is from Rfam by way of RNAcentral. Lineage: Eukaryota; Fungi; Ascomycota; Dothideomycetes; Mycosphaerellales; Mycosphaerellaceae.
UCCAUCGUGGUCCAGAGGUUAGGAUCUCUCGCUUUCAAGCUCCAAAGGAGUGGAAAGGCCCGUGAUGGCCCGGGUUCGAAUCCCGGCGAUGGAA